UUUAUUCCCCCAAAUAGAUGUCAGAUCCAUCCUCGAAAGCUCGAACCAUUCUCUGUAUCCCAACCAUCUCCGAUCCAUCCUCUCCCACCGGCCAUUGUCACUGAUCCAUCUUCUGAUUUAUCGUUUCUCGUUUCUCGUUUCUCUUCAAAGGAUUCAGUCGUCUCUUCACUCGCCAGUCGCCGACUCCAAAAAUUUCUGAGGUAAUUUUUCUACCAAUUGGGCUCGGAUGGUAUAUAAACUGAGUUUAUUUUGAACUUUGGUCAAUGAAUUUAUCUCUACUUAUGUGGAUUUGUCUAUAUAUGGGUGUUUACUGUUUAGGGCUUUAUUUUUAUUUUUUAGUUGUGCUUGAUGAUUUUAUUUUGAUAUGAUAUCUUUUUCUUCGUUCCUUCGUUGCCAUUUUUUUCCCAGACCAAACUUUCAAUUUUCUCGGCUUCUUGUAGGCCUGGUAACAGUAGUGAUACUUAUAAAUUUGAAUUGAAGUGUAAGAUUAAUUGAUGAUGUGGUGCUGUAGCAAACUCAAUAACAAACGAACAGAAAAAGGAUUCAAAUUGAAACUUUGGAUCAAUAUUUUCUUGAGGUUUACUUAGCUCCAAUGCAUAUUAAAAGUAAUAGAUCAUUCUAGGCUUAUGCAGAGAAUUGCAUUAAUUUUAUAUACAUUGUUCUCUGGAAGGCACUCCUUCAGAUUAUGAAGUGAAUAGACCCAUUACUAUCAACUUUAUUAGGAGAACUAUGAGUAAGAAAGUGCAUUAUUUUCAAUGCUACCCCCCUUGUUUUAUAAAUCCAAUGAGCUGGCGAAGGGUUUGUUUGGUUAGUAGCGUUUGCGGUAUUUAGAGUCCAAACACACAACAUCAUUUUUGGUCCGGUGCAUUUGAGUAUUAAACAACGCGUUUGUAAGUUAAAUAAGGUGUUUGUAGAUUAACAAUAUUUUUAAGUGUGUUUGGACUUUCAAACUCUCUAAACACACUAAACAUUUCAAACAUCGUUUAACUAAACCCUCUAAACACACUAAAUGUUCCAAACAUCGUGUAACUAAACAUACGCUAACAUUGGUCUUGUGACUUGCAAUGCUGCAGUAUUAUUCUUUUUCUCCUAUUUUUACCUAAUAAUAAUUCUACCUUUCAUAUGCUUCUUGGAUAAAAUGAUACUGGAAGGCAAUAUGUUUAGUUUUUCAUGGCUCGUUAGAUUAUUUUUUUUUUAACAUUUUUUUUCUCUGGCGUAUCAAUGUUUGUUGCUUAAAAGAAAUAUCCAUUUAUUUUGCUUCUUACCUACAUCUUUAAGCAAUGUCCUUAAUCACAUAGCUUGAUAAAUUGCCUCAACAUAUUUAAUUGAACAUAGGUAUUGUGCAGGUACCUUUUGUUCCUUCUUUAUAAUCAGAAGUGCUCUUUAUGUCAUCAACAAUUUCAGCCCAAUCACUAUUGGAAUAAGCAAUUAAAUCUUAAGUUUCUACUAAUUUAGAGUACAUGAUCUCAUAAUCAAGUGUCCCUAGUAUUUCAACUUUCUUUAGCAACUCUACAGUGGACAAUUUCUUUUUGUUUCUUUUUGUCCCAAAAAAAUGGUUAUGUUUCUUUUUGUGAUGUGUGCUUUUAUGUGACACUUUAUGAUUAUCUAUGCUUAUUAUUUGUUUUUAUAGAUGGCUGAUUUAUCCACCUCUAAAAUAAGGACUGAAUUUGAAGAGCAAAAGGGAGUUGUGAGUGAAUUACAUGAGCGACUUGGGGAUGUAGAAUAUCAAAUUAAUGAGGGAGAAAAGUUGAGGAAGAUUAACAUGCGUCCAAAUUGAACUUGAAAAUCCACGGUUAAAAUUUUUUGCUCCCUUCAAGUUACAUGUGAUGUCCCUUUCAUCCACGAGGUUUCAAUUUCCAAAGACAUAUCGCGUGUAAACUUGAACAGCAGAAAAGUUAUUUUAUCAAAAUUUAGUAAUCUUUAGUUUCAUUGUCAUCAAUGAAGUACUUAAAAUUGUCCAGUUUUGCAUAAUAAUGGCAUUUUAUAAGCAAUUUUUUUACACUGUUAACAACUUUCAAUUACUUGUUGUUCACUGGGUCAUUAUUCUGUACUAAAGUAAUUAUGGAGUACUGUAUUCAUUUGAGGAUUCAGGCCAGAUAUCCAGCCUAACUUUGUUUUGAGUUUUCAAUUUUAUUUCAAGGCUAGACGUCCAAGUUUGUGUAACCUGCCGUUCCAUUCAGAAUUGAAAUGAUUUUCUAAAUUUGGUCAAAAUUUCCUUUGAAGUAUUACUUCUAAAUUACUUAACACAUAUGUAAUUGCAUGAUGCACUUACUCCUAGUCAAGCAGAUUGUGAAGUUCAGUUCAGAUAUUUCCUUUUUGGUGCUUGUUUUUCUUCCAAUACUAACGGUGCACAAGCCUCUCAUGUUUGUAACAUUUGUUAAAUGUAAAAAUUUUGGAAGAUCGUGAGAUGUAACGAAAAUGAGCCUCUUAAAAAAGGAGUUUGAUCAUAUUUUGUAAAAUUAUGUGAAAAAUAUUCUUGUUGUUGUGCUGGAAAUAUGUUGUAUUUAUUUAGCAAAAAAAAUGUAGUAUUUAACUCUCUUGUGUGAACAAUAAUACAAUAUCCUUUCUAUACAAAUUUUUAUGUCUUGUUUUUUUUGCAACUCAUGUCAAAUUUACGUCAUUAUUACAGUACUUCUCCAACAUCUAGUAUUCAUUAUGGUGUGUCCCUAACAUCAUCUUUAUAUUUAAGGAAGUGAAGUUGGAUAUUUCCUCCUCAACGUUAAGGAGCUGCUAAUCUUGAACCAGCUCUAAAUAAGGCAAUCUUUUCUUAAACUGCAUCACUUUCAGUUGCUUUAUUCUCUCAAUGCUAUGAGACAGAUUAUUUCUUACUUUUCAGUUUUUCCUAAAAUUAUAUUUAUACAACCCAUACAUACCAUGCUGUUUCUAACACUAAAAAAAAACAUUCGUCUCAAACUCAACUUCAUAGUGGCUUUGCUUCCAAAAAAGCCACAAAUUAUAAUUAAAUCUUCGCAGCUUUCCUUUUUAUUCCCUUCUCACUUCUUAUCAUCAUCUGCUGUGUGAUGCUCCCAAAAUAGGUAUACAUCACCCAUCUUGGGUCGCCAAAUACAUGGUAUUGAAUACAAAUACAAACUUAAUUAUACAACAUGAGCUGAGAGUUUUUACACGAAUAUUGUCAUCUAGACAAUAUCCAAACUCAAAUAGAGUCCUCAUUAUAUAUAUUGGCACACUAUUUUAUAGAAUAGUGAGGACUACUAUAACACCAUCUCGGGCCAUCACUCCGUUCCUCGACUAGUUCCGGCUACGUUCUCAUUUCCUGAAGAGAACAAUGGAAGUAAAAGGGUGAGCUCAACUAGCCCAGUAAGAAAUAUUAUGACUAAGAUAAUGCAGAAUAAGUUAUCAUUAGCCUUCAACAAUGUUAAACUAAUAGAAUAUAAUAGACAACAAGUUUAACUGCAGCGGAACAAGCAAUCCAUUAGAAGAGUCAAGUAGAGCAUGAUAUCUACUAUCUUCUAUGAUUUAAAAAGUUUAUCAUUAUCUUUAUUGCUGGGACUUAGCUUAAUAAAUAGAUCACAUCAUCGAAUCAUCCCUGCACUACGGGCCAAGGAUAUUCAUUAGUAUCACGCCCACAAAUUAUUCUUGCACUACGGGCCAAGAAUUAUUCGUGUAAUCAUUAAUGGUCAUGACUAUACCGAAUUAUUCCUGGUCAUAAUCAUACCAAUCAAUAGUCCAUCUAUGCACGUAAGUCAAAGAUGACUUUCAUCAUAAUAUAAGCAUGAGGAUGAUGACAAUGAUAUAAGAAUUCAAUUAAAAGAAAGCAAAGGAUAAAUUUUUAAAUAUUUAUAAUUUAAUUUAUCCAAAAUUUAAUAAUGUCCAAAUUUUUAACAUGAUACUGCUUUGUAGAGUAAAAUUCAAGAAUAAUAUCCUUGUAUCAAAAAUAAUUUGGACAGAAAAGAAAUAAAUUUUUCAGUGAAUAGUACUUCGGGAAUAGUACCCCGUGAAUAGUAACCCGACAUGAAAAGUGCCCCAAAUAUCCGACUAAACAAUAUUUGAGUGAAUAGUAAUCGGGUGAAUAGUAACCCGUGAAUAGUAAUUCGUGAAUAGUACCCCGACAUGAAAAGUGCCCCGAAUACCCGAGUGAAUAAUAUUAUAGUGAAUAGUAAUCGGGUGAAUAGUAAUCCGUGAAUAGUACCUUAUGAAUAGUACUUCGGGUGAAAAUAUUGAUAUUUAAUACGAAAGUUCAUAUCAAUAUCCCAAUAAAAUUAUACUGGAUGAAGCGCAAAAAUCAAGGAUAUUCCACUAAUUUCAAGGAUUAUAGAAGCAAUACUUACCAUAGUAAGUUUAGAUUUAAGAAUAUGAAAAGAAUUAACAUACGAAAACUACAAAUGGAUUUUCUCCUGUCAUACGGUACGUAAUCCGCGUAGACAGGUUAUUCCGACAUACUAAAGGAUGAAUACGAAAAAUAGUAUUCCUUAUUAAUACGAAAUAAAUAAUACCCCUUACCUUAGUAGAAAGUUGGAUACUGCUAAAGUGAAGUAGUAGAAUACUCUUCUUCUUGCUCUUUAUAGUUUCUCUAUAGUGUCUCUUGUGAAUCUCAGUGAAUUGGUGAGAAUGAAAGAAGAAUUAAGCUUCUAUUUAUAGGAGAAUGGACUAAAUAGUAACUAAUUCAUGAACGGUCCAGAUUGAUUCACUAUUAGAACGGACGGUCCAUAUUGAUUACUAUUAAAAUCACAACCGACGGUCCAGAUUGAUUUACUUUUAAAACCACCACCGACGGUCCAGAUUGAUUUACUUUUAAAACCACCAUCAAUGGUCCAGAUUUAUUUACUAUUAAAACCACCACCAAUGGUCCAUAUUGAUUUAACUUAUUACACUUUGGUACCCCUAAAGUUUUCCAAGUUUGCAUUAUUUUCCUCUAACUUUUGUAAUUCACUCAUCUUCAAUAAACACAUUCUUAAUACUUCGAUAAUUAUUCAUCAUUAAUAUUAUAACUCAUAAUAUUUAACAGUCAGAUCGUUCCCAAGAAAGAGGGGGCUUUCCAAUAAGGAUUUCUCCCUAUUGACGCGCAAUUAGGUGACCAAACCUCUUCUCGACAGAACUUUCUAGACAUUGUCAUUAUUGCAAAUAAUAAUAUGAAUAACUUUGUUGUCACAAUUAUUGAUUUAAUAAUAUAAAAUAUUAUGCAGAUGAUAAUAUGACAAUAAUUAAAUCAAAUAACGUGAAAUAUUAUGCAACAAUUACUGUAGCAAUAAUUGAGUAUAAAUGAGUGCUUCUCACGUAAGCAUCAAUAAUCAAUACCAUGUGCUACUAUGCAACCACGCGUAUUACUGUACUUUUACCACCGGGUAGUUCAACAGUUUAACGGUAAAACUUUCGUUAUUUUUAUAAAAAGAUAUUUUUGUCGUUUUCUAACUACGACAAUACUUUUGUUGUGGGGUCUACCAAUGAUUGUACCGUCGUACGAAUAUUUUCUGUUAAAAUGAAUAUUCCUCGACCAAUCGAAUAUUCACUAACACAACGAAUAUUUUAUAUCAACUUGCUUACUUUGCAAAAUUUUUCAAAUAUUAUCCACAACUAUAACAUUAUAUCAUAUCCACACCAUAAUAUUCAAAAAUAUAUUUCGAGAAAAAUUAUUUUUUAUUCGAAAAAAUUGGGGUCUUACAUGCUGAACAUAAGAACUUCUCUAAAAUAAUGCAAAUAUCACCAAUCUGCAAAUCACCAGACUAUUGUUUAAUCUAUUGUAAAUCUCCAGACUAUUGUUUAAUCUAUUGGAUUUCAUAUUAUGAAAUCUGCUUUUCUAGACGGUUUGGAAGACCAUGGUUGUUGAAUGUGACUGAAUUCUGACUUGAGGUCAACAUAUAAUAAUAAUCUACAAGUCUUGUAACAGAAAAUAUGUUUACCACUAUGCUUACUGAAAUUAAUUCAUGAAAUGGCCGAUUAAGAUUCCAAUUUUAUCUUGUAACAGAGCAAUCAUAUAGUCGCACUGAAGGUUCUUUUUCUAUUUGGAUUUGUAGCAAAUGUUAUUGUGAUUGCCUAUUUGUCUUUUUCUUCUUAUGAGCAAUACGAUGUACAUUAGUACCACAUAACAACUCUAUUGUCUUUGUGUAUUGAUUUUGGCACUAAGUGCCUCUGGUGACCUAUUUGCUUCAUUUUCCUGACUUGCUAUUAUUUUUAAAUAUGUGCAAAGACUGCUUCUACGACUUGCCUUACAAUACUGGGUAUCAAAUUUUCGUGCUACGUUUACGGAAGAUAAGGGACGAAAUUUUGAAGUGUACUCUCUCUAUAUAUGUAGAUAUAUACUUUGAUUGAAGAACUGUGGUAGCUUUAGAUGGUUAAUUGUAAAGAUAAUGAAUGAAUAUGUAGUGGAUGAUUUUAUUAAGUUAAUAGUAUUUUAGUUUUUUGUAUUUUUGCCAUUAUUUGUUAUGGGGACAUUGAGAUAGCCAGGUACACAAAAAGAAUGUUAAAUUUUGAUUUGGCAACAAUAUAAUUCGUUACCAAAGCAUUGAACAAGUUUACAUUUAGAAACAAACUUUCGUUGCUAAUGGCAUUAAAAAUUUUAUAUUUGGCAACGAAAAAUUAACCUAAUAACAACGGAGAGGAUAUUGUUGCUAAUAUUAAAAUAAAAGGUAACAUUUUUUAUCGUUGCAAAUCAUAUUAAUUUUUGUUGCACAUAUAAAGAAACGACAACAUAUAAUGUCGUUGUUAAUUGACGACUUUCGUCGCUAUUGAAAAAUAACCAACAACAAACAUUUUCGUUGCUGAUUCAGCAUAAUGUUUUUGCCAAAUAAUAUAAUCAGCAACGAAAAUAGUUGUCAAAAAUUUACAUUCUGCAACAAAAGUAAGCUUAGGCAACAAUUUUCAUAAUUUACUGCAACGAAAAAUGUCGUUGCAAAAUGGUGUCAAUUGCAAUGAAAAUGCAUGGUCGUUGCAAAAAAAAAAAGAGUUCAUUUCAUUGCCAAUUAGCAGGCUUUUGCAAUGAAAUGGGCUUUUUAGCAACGCAAUUUUAAUUAUUCUGCAACAAUACAUUUUGUUGCUAAAGGAUCGAUGUCUCUGUACGAAAGCCAAAUUUUAUUGCAAAAUAUAUUACUUUUGGCAACGAAAAAAAUACUUUCGUUGCGGAACAAUUAACAAUGCUCAUUGCGCAACCAAAGACGCAACGACAGUAAAGUCGUUGCCAAAACCCUUUUGCAACGAAAAUUGGCACCUUUAGCAACGAAAAUCGGUUGUUGCUGAAGUCCCAUUUUUUGUAGUGCCAGCAGUACAAACUGGCGCAGCUGCGCCAGUGGUCAGUUGGAGAAAACUAAUUUUUCCACUUUGAAAAUUAAAUGGAACAAUUAUGUGAUAUGUGUGACAUUGAUAAACCAUGAAACAAAGCACGUUAUGUUCGACGAAGGAAUUAUUAAGUAAGCCAUUAAUUAAUAUUAAUUGAUUGUGGUGGAAUAUGGAUUACUUGGUAAUUAACUAAUAAUAUGUGAUUUCUAUUAUUUGCAAUAUGUCUUUAAAUAUAACAAGAAUUAUAUAGAUAAUUGAUGGUUAUGGAGAUCUAUAAAUACAUUAAUCAAGGAAGUAGAUGAUUUAUUAUUUGACAUAAAUAAGUAAGUUAUUAAUAUAAUAAUAUUAUAUUAACGGCUAUGUGCAUGUGAUCAAAUAAUACAACUAUACUAUAUAGUGUAGUGUGACAUUUGUGUGACUAUAUAUUAAGUUUUAUGAAACUAUAUUAUAUUAAGUGGUAAUUAAUCAAGGGAAGGAAUAAAUUUAUUUAUUUAACAUAAAUAAAUAAGUUAUUAAUAUAAUAAGGUUAUAAUAUGGUUAUAUGAGUGGUAGGGAUAAUUAUGGAACUAUUCGGACAAUAAUAUGUGACUGCAUUAUUUUAUUACAUGUAAUUGAUGUACAUGAACUAUAUGAUAUGAGUAUAUAAAUAACACUAAUUUCUCCUAAUAUGGUAACAUUUGGACAUUAAAACCAUUUUUGGUUAACCAAGUAACUAAAUGAAAUGGAGCUAAGUUAUUGCUGAGACUUCAUUUUGUCCCAUAAUUAGUGUCACCAAGUACAAUGAAUAGUAGCUCAAAGCUAAAUUAUGUAUUCUUCCAAAAGGCUGGAGUUAAGUGAUAAUGGCUGAGCUUGAGGGUGGUUGGCCAACCGUUGAGUAACCAUUAUUUCAUUGCAUUGCACCAUGAGUUCAAGUUUUGUGUAAUUCCAAUGUCCAGUCCAAAACUCUUCUAUAAAUAGCAGUCAUGUUGAUCAAUUGGUGUUGCUUGGAGUUGUCUGAUAUUUGCUAAGUAAGAGUUCAAAGCAUACAAGCAUUCUUAGAGCUUAAGAGUUCAUUGGAGCAAGUUCCUUUCACAUUUGCAGAGGUAUAACUCCUCUUCCUUGCUUUUAUUUUCAGUUUCUGUAAACAGAGUUCUUGAACUCUUAAAAUUCAAAUUCUUGAAUUCAUGGAAUUGGAUGUUAAUAAAGUUGGGUAUUGGUUAUAAAGUUGUUAUAUGGCCAUAUAAGUAUGUUUGAACUGAUACAUGAUUGUUUGGAAUCGAAUUGGUGAAUAAUUUUUGAGGUUGGGCUAACUUUCUGCCGAAGCAGACUGCUUCUGCACCUGAAACUGGCACGGCGCAGCUGCGCCAUAAUUGUACUGAGGCGCAGCGCAGCUGCGCCGGUCUCUGGUUUUAGUUGAAGCUUCUGUUUUAUAACCAGCUAAAUGUUAGUCUAUUGUUAUGACAUGUAAUAGCAUGCAAAUAUGGUAAGGGGCAUAUAUAAGUAUAUUGACUUGAUGUGAGCAUGUGUUAAUAGAUUAGCAUUCAUGAAUAAUGAGAGUAUGUAGUUGAAAUGAAAUUAGAACUUUGAAAACAAACUAUGUUAGAGAUCAUGUUCUGCAAAUUGUGAACCUAGUAAGCUAUACAUGACUGAUUUUACACAUAGAUGAGCAUGUUAUAGUAUACAUAGUUCCUUUGAGCAUGACCAAACUUAUUAAGCCUUGUGUUAGAAAUGUUUUCAAGAAAAAGCUUAGCCUAGUGAGCUAACGUGCAUGAUUACUUCAUAGUUUAUAUUCUGACUUUGCAAGCGUGUUAGUAUGACUUAGAAAUGCAUGAAUAAACCUUUAGCUUGUGUUUAUAUGAUUAGCAAGGAAACAUGAAUAUGUUGAACAAAUUAGUACACUUUACAAAUGAAAAUAUGACCUUUGAAUAUGAAUAUUGUCAAAACUACCUUGAGGGUUAGAAACUGAUAAUUGUGAUCAUGUUUGAUGAUGCUCUUAGACUCACUCAUGUAGCAUAAACAUAUAUACACCAUGCUUGUGUAUCAUAUUUCAAAUAAAGCAUGAACGAAGCAUAUUUUCAACUAAAGCGGUGUUAGUUUCAUAUAUGCGUUAUGAAUACUCACAAGCAUGCCUAAUAUGAGCUUUAUAACUAUCUUGUAUGUUUAGAGAGCAAGCAUGAUAGACUUUAUGGUUUCAUGACCUUGAAUGGCCUUGAAUUGUUGAAAUGAUCGAACUUAGAACCAUGUUAUAAAAGAAGGAACCUAGAUUGCUCUAAGAAGCAUGUGAAAGCCUUUAACAUGACAAAAUAUGAUUGUGUAUUCAAGCCGAACAAAAACCACAAGGCAGUAGCUAAGUCUUGGCUUGGCCAGAGGACGGCGCAGCUGCGCCGGUCCUAGGCUUAGCCAUGGCGCAACUGUGCCAGUCUGAAAUCCCAGAUAGUGAGUUCUGAUUUUGGGAUAACUAAUUUGUGUGAUGCCUAUAUUACUAAACAAUAGUUAGAACCUACUGAUACACGUAUAUAUGUGAUGAUUAAGUGAGAUGAUGGAAUUUGUCUCGAAAUAGGAAGGUCCAUGGAUAAAAUGACUUAACCUUAUGAUUUCUUAGUUUACUUAUGAAAUAACUAGGUAUUUGAUUCAUGAUGAAUCUAUAAUCUGAUUUUAUACCAUAUGUGCAUACUUGAAUCAUGUCAAGCUUGAUUAAUGACUGUGUUAGCUAAUGAACAUCUUGAACAUAUAAUGCGCUAUAAAUAGGAUUCGAAAGUGUUGAUUUCUUAACGUGGAUAAACUACGCUUAAGGCAAGUUUCAUAAACUUACUCCAAUUAUUAUUGAGCAAGUAUCCGGACCCUACUUGUAAGACCCCAAAUUUUUAUAAAUGAAAUUUAUUUUCCUCUAUUUAUUAUUUUGAAAUAGUAAGGGUUGAUUUGAUUAAUGUGGAUAGUUAUGGGUAAAAUACGCAAAUAUUUCGAAUAAGCAAGUGGUUAUAAAAUAUUCAUUAUUGUCGGGGAAUAUUCGUUUGGUCGUGGAAUAUUCGUACUGUCGGGGAAUAUUCGUACGACGGCGCAGUCUUUUGUGGGCCCCAUAACGGAAAGCGAUUGGAUGAAGAAAACGACAAAUAUAAGUUGUUUAUAAAUAACGGCGUAGUUGUUACCGUUAAUACUGUUGGAAUACCCGGUGGUUAAAACACACUAAUACGCGUUGUUGAACAGUAGCACACGGUAUUGCACCAAUUAUUGAUUCUUACGUAAGAAGGCACUACUCAAUAAUUGUUACAGUAAUUACUGUUCAGUAUUUUAUUUUAUUGAUUCAAUAAUUGCUGCAUUGAUAUUUUAUAUUACUGUUGUUUCAAUAAAUUGUCAUUACACAGUAUUUUCCAUUAUCGGAGCAAUAAUUCAUAUUAUCUGAAUAAUAUUAUUGGAUAACAUUAUUGGCAAUGUCUAGAAAGUUCUGUCUAAGGAGAGGUUUGGUCACCUAAUUGCGCGCCAGUAAGGAGAGAUCCUUAUUGGAAAGCCCCCUCUUUCCUGGGAACGGCCUGGUUGCCAGUACUGUGAUUCUGUAAUAUUAUUUGUGAAUAAUUAAUUAUUGAUUUAUAUGAUGAGGAAAAUAUUGAUUUUAUGUGGAUAUAGAUGGAGAAAAUUUUUAAUGUGACAAUUGUUGAAAAUUAAUAUUUUAUCUUUUUCUGAUAAAAUAAUUCAUUUAAAUAUAUUAUUUUAAUAAUAUAUUAACGGUGAUAUUUUUAUAAUGAAUGUGGGAUAUAUGAGUAUAUGAGGAGGAAGAGUAUUUUUGUGGCAUUAAAUGUUUAACACAUAUUUUGUGUGUUGGUGGACACAAUUAUUGACCGAAAUUUGAUUAUAGCCUGUAAAAUCGCCCGUUUGUGGAUUUCGGUCAAUUUCUGUUUGGAAUUUGGAAAAACUUUCUUCUGCAAAGUUGUAGAGAAUUGAAUUUCCUAUAAAAAUUCGCGAGAUUCGAAUUUUCUGAUAAAAGGGCUAUUUAUUAUGAAUUAUUGAAGUUCCGAAGUUCCGAAAUAAUUGAUUUUUGGAAGUUUAAAAUAUUUUUAAUUACAAAAACGUUUUUUUCAUUUUUGAAACUCAUUUAACAUGUGAUUAGGAGGCUGAAUUCAGAUUGUUAGUGUGCGUAUGAAGUUGUGGAAAAAUUAUAAUAUUAAUUUAUUAAAUUUUCUACUUUGGUGUUCUAAGCAUUUUCCUAUAAAUAGGGUGCUUAGGUUAGAAUUGAAAAUCACACCAGAAACUGAAGUUUUCUCUCUCUAUAUUAUCGAGCGUAUUCUUGUGAGUAUUUUGAGUAUACUUUGAGUAUUGCUAUACGGUGCAAGUUCAAGUCAUAGCCUAUAUCCGGUGUUUCAACUAGAAGUACUGUCUUUCGAGGUAAGGGAUGUUAUUUUAUUCGAAAAUGAUAUUAUUUCUUCAAUAUCAUUAUGCCGAAAUAUUGGUUGGAAAUUUUUAUCAAAUUUGGAACUUUUUCAUGUCGGGGUUACUAUUCAUGAGUUACUAUUCACGAGUUACUAUUCAUGAGUUACUAUUCACGAGUUACUAUUCACGAGUACUAUUCACGAAGCGUGAAGAUGUUUUUUGUGAAAUUUCUAUCUUUUGGUGUCGGAGUUACUAUUCACGUAUACGGCACUAUUCACGUAUACGGCACUAUUCACGAAUACGGCACUAUUCACCGAAAAAUGAAAUUUCUUCUUUUUGUCCAAAAUAUCUAUUAUGGAUACUAGCUUUGAUUGUAUCCAUGUUUUGAUCAUUCUUGAAUUUUACACCACUAUGAUUAUUUUUGAGGUAUUUUUGGACGUGGAUAAAACAAAGUACGAAUCCUUAAUCCUUAAUCCUUGUCAUUUUGUUUCACUGGAUUCGUUUCUUUAAAAAAAAUUUUUCAUCAUCCUCAGUCUUAAAUGAUGAUAUUAUUGAAUAUCUUUGGCCUGUAGUGCAAAGAUGAAUGAUUUCUGAUGAAUAUCUUUGGCCCGUAGUGCAAAGAUGAACAGGUGUUUAGAUGAACAUGACCAACUGAUGAAUAUCUUUGGCCUGUAGUGCAAAGAUGAAUAUUUGAUUCCAGAUAUAUAUUGAUUGAUGUUACAGGGAUAAAAGAUAGACGAUGAACUUUUAAAUUCAUACAUAGAAGAUAGUAGUUUGCAUUCUCUACUUAACUCUUCUAAUGAAUUAUUAUUUCCGCUGCGAAUAUUGAUUUAAAACUUGUUGUCUAUUGUAUUCUAUUAGAUUUUUCCCUGUUGAAGACUAACGAUAAUUUGUUGUAUAUUAUCUUAGUCAUAAUAUUCUUUACUGGGCUAGUUGAGCUCACCCUUUUCCUUUUUGUUCCAUUUUUCUUCUCAGGAGGCGAGAAUAUAGCGAGUACGAGUCGGGGUAUGGAAUGAAGGUUCUAGAGAGAGUUGUUUAGUAGUCCUCAC
This 12620-nucleotide long non-coding RNA is filed under the name Panax ginseng (ginseng). Its description in RNAcentral is "long non-coding RNA (PGIN_LNC003059)". The record is from RNAcentral. Lineage: Eukaryota; Viridiplantae; Streptophyta; Magnoliopsida; Apiales; Araliaceae.